GACGAACGCUGGCGGCGUGCUUAACACAUGCCAGUCGAACGGAAAGGCCCUGCUUUUGUGGGGUGCUCGAGUGGCGAACGGGUGAGUAACACGUGAGUAACCUGCCCUUGACUUUGGGAUAACUUCAGGAAACUGGGGCUAAUACCGGAUAGGAGCUCCUGCUGCAUGGUGGGGGUUGGAAAGUUUCGGCGGUUGGGGAUGGACUCGCGGCUUAUUAGCUUGUUGGUGGGGUAGUGGCUCACCAAGGCGUUGACGGGUAGCCGGCCUGAGAGGGUGACCGGGCAGACUGGAACUGAGACACGGUCCAGACUCCUACGGGAGGCAGCAGGGGGGAAUCGGCCACAAUGGGCGAAAGCCUGACGGAGCAACGCCGCGUGCAGGACGAAGGCCUUCGGGUUGUAAACUGCUUUUAUAAGUGAGGAAUAUGACGGUAACUUAUGAAUAAGGAUCGGCUAACUACGUG
This 463-nucleotide ribosomal RNA is filed under the name uncultured bacterium. Its description in RNAcentral is "partial 16S ribosomal RNA". It matches the Rfam family "Bacterial small subunit ribosomal RNA", at positions 28 to 507 of the family's 1533-position model. The record is from RNAcentral.